This 497-nucleotide ribosomal RNA is filed under the name uncultured bacterium. RNAcentral describes it as "partial 16S ribosomal RNA". It matches the Rfam family "Bacterial small subunit ribosomal RNA", at positions 28 to 507 of the family's 1533-position model. The record is from RNAcentral.
GAUGAACGCUGGCGGCGUGCCUAAUACAUGCAAGUCGAGCGCACGGACGAGAAGCUUGCUUCUCUGAUGUUAGCGGCGGACGGGUGAGUAACACGUGGAUAACCUACCUAUAAGACUGGGAUAACUUCGGGAAACCGGUGCUAAUACCGGAUAAUAUUUUGAACCGCAUGGUUCAAAAGUGAAAGAGGGUGUUGCGGUCUCGUAAAGAGGGAUGCGCGCUGCAUUAGCUAGUUGGUAAGGUAACGGCUUACCAAGGCAACGAUGCAUAGCUGACCCGAGAGGGAGAUCGGCCACACUGGAACUGAGACGCGGUCCAGACUCCUAAGGGAGGCAGCAGUAGGGAAUCUUCCGGAAUGAGCGAAAGCCUGACGGAGCAACGCCGCGUGAGUGUGGAAGGUCUUCGGAUCGUAAAACUCUGUUAUUAGGGAAGAACAUAUGUGUAAGUAAGUGUGCACAUCUUGACGGUACCUAAUCAGAAAGCCACGGCUAACUACGUG